UACGUAGGGGGCAAGCGUUAUCCGGAUUUACUGGGUGUAAAGGGAGCGUAGACGGCUUUGCAAGCCAGAUGUGAAAGCCCGGGGCUCAACCCCGGGACUGCAUUUGGAACUGCGUGGCUGGAGUGCGGGAGGGGCAGGCGGAAUUCCUGGUGUAGCGGUGAAAUGCGUAGAUAUCAGGAGGAACACCGGCGGCGAAGGCGGCCUGCUGGACCGCGACUGACGUUGAGGCUCGAAAGCGUGGGGAGCGAACAGG
This 253-nucleotide ribosomal RNA is filed under the name uncultured bacterium. RNAcentral describes it as "partial 16S ribosomal RNA". It matches the Rfam family "Bacterial small subunit ribosomal RNA", at positions 524 to 776 of the family's 1533-position model. The record is from RNAcentral.